RNAcentral lists this ribosomal RNA (252 nucleotides) under uncultured Bacteroidales bacterium. RNAcentral describes it as "partial 16S ribosomal RNA". It matches the Rfam family "Bacterial small subunit ribosomal RNA", at positions 524 to 776 of the family's 1533-position model. Lineage: Bacteria; Pseudomonadati; Bacteroidota; Bacteroidia; Bacteroidales. The record is from RNAcentral.
UACGGAGGAUGCGAGCGUUAUCCGGAUUUAUUGGGUUUAAAGGGUGCGUAGGCGGGUUAUCAAGUCAGCGGUAAAAUCGUGGAGCUCAACUCCAUCCAGCCGUUGAAACUGAUGAUCUUGAGUGGGCGAGAAGUAUGCGGAAUGCGUGGUGUAGCGGUGAAAUGCAUAGAUAUAUGGAAGAACACCAGUGGCGAAGGCGGCCGCCUGGCCUGUUACUGACGCUGAGGCACGAAAGCGUGGGGAGCAAAUAGG